Molecule: ribosomal RNA, 253 nt
Filed under: uncultured bacterium
Lineage: Bacteria
Description: partial 16S ribosomal RNA
Rfam family: Bacterial small subunit ribosomal RNA
Source: RNAcentral
GACGAACCGUGCGAACGUUGUUCGGAUUCACUGGGCUUAAAGGGCGCGUAGGCGGGUGACCAAGUCCGGGGUGAAAUCUUCCGGCCUAACCGGAAAAGUGCCUUGGAUACUGGUCGCCUGGAGGGAGGUAGGGGCACGCGGAACUCCAGGUGGAGCGGUGAAAUGCGUAGAUAUCUGGAGGAACGCCGGUGGCGAAAGCGGCGUGCUGGACCUCUUCUGACGCUGAGGCGCGAAAGCCAGGGGAGCAAACGGG